Long non-coding RNA from Lemur catta (Ring-tailed lemur), 248 nucleotides. RefSeq lists it as uncharacterized. The transcript is spliced from 3 exons. NCBI's taxonomy places the organism in Eukaryota, Metazoa, Chordata, Mammalia, Primates, Lemuridae. The record is from RefSeq and is a predicted model, not a curated record.
UUGUUAAUCUGUCUUUUGUUACAGGGAAGCCCAGCUAAGAACUCACGAGGGGUGGAGGAGAAAAUUACCUUCCCUCCCCUGCUUGGGUGCAACAGAUUCUUACAGGAAGAUCUGGCUCUAAAUAAGAAGUCCCUCUGCUGACCCACUUGAGAAAAAUGGACCCAGAGAAACAAGAGUUAAACAAGCCAUCCUUGAGCUGAUAUCCUGGCUAGAAAACCUGGAAUGACCCAGCAUACCGAAUAUCUUUG